Molecule: long non-coding RNA, 840 nt
Filed under: Astyanax mexicanus (Mexican tetra)
Lineage: Eukaryota; Metazoa; Chordata; Actinopteri; Characiformes; Acestrorhamphidae
Description: lncRNA (ENSAMXG00005006209.1)
Source: RNAcentral
CAGGUUUCUGCCCAUUCACAAGCUUCUGCCCAGACACAGGCUUCUGCCCAUCCACAGGCUUCUGCCCAUUCACAAGCUUCUGCCCAGACACAGGCUUCUGCCCAGACACAGGCUCCUGCCCAUCCACAGGCCUCUGCCCAUUCACAAGCUUCUGCCCAGACACAGGCUUCUGCCCAUUCACAGGCCCAUUCUACCCAUCCACAGGUUUCUGCCCAUUCACAAGCUUCUGCCCAGACACAGGAUUCUGCUCAGACACAGGCUUCUGCCCAUUCACAAGCUUCUGCCCAAGUAAAGGUCUCUGCCUAUCCACAUGCUUAUUCUGCCCAUCCACAGGCUUCUGCCCAUUCACAGGCUUCUGCCCAUUCACAGGCUUCUGCCCAUUCACAAGCUUCUGCCCAGACACAGGCUUCUGCCCAUCCACAGGGUUCUGCGCAGACACAGGCUUCAGCCCAUUCACAGGUUUCUGCCCAUCCACAGGCUUCUGCACAGACACAGGCUUCAGCCCAUUCACAGGCAUCAUUCACAGGCUCUUUCCCACCCAACAGCUUCAGCCCAGACACAGGUGUCCCUACAAUAUACACUGAGCAAGCAUAACAUUAUGGCCACCUACUUUCACUACGUUCUUCAAUGGUCAGGACCCAACAGGACCACCAAAAAGCAGAACCCUUGGCUGCCCAAUCCCACUGUUGGACAUCUAACAUCACACAGAGUUCAUAAUCAGUUGAACCGGGAGUAAAGGUGGAAAGAAAGAGCUCAGAAUUACGUCACUUUUAAAACUCUGAUGUUUUGAUAUUAUGUUUCCAUCAGCUUUUUUUUCUUUGGUAGGCUGAUUAAGACUGC